Molecule: ribosomal RNA, 253 nt
Filed under: uncultured bacterium
Lineage: Bacteria
Description: partial 16S ribosomal RNA
Rfam family: Bacterial small subunit ribosomal RNA
Source: RNAcentral
UACGAAGGGGGCUAGCGUUGUUCGGAAUUACUGGGCGUAAAGGGCGCGUAGGCGGUGCUUCAAGUCAGGCGUGAAAUCCCUCGGCUUAACCGGGGAACUGCGUCUGAUACUGGAUGGCUUGAGUUUGGGAGAGGGAUGCGGAAUUCCAGGUGUAGCGGUGAAAUGCGUAGAUAUCUGGAGGAACACCGGUGGCGAAGGCGGCAUCCUGGACCAACACUGACGCUGAGGAGCGAAAGCCAGGGGAGCAAACGGG